Molecule: ribosomal RNA, 890 nt
Filed under: uncultured archaeon
Lineage: Archaea
Description: bacterial SSU rRNA
Rfam family: Archaeal small subunit ribosomal RNA
Source: RNAcentral
UUUCUGGUUGAUCCUGCCGGACCCCACUGCUAUCGGGAUAGGACUAAGACAUGCUAGUCGAGCGCGUCAGCCAAAACGACGCGCGGCAUACAGCUCAGUAACACGUGGCUAAUCUGCCCUUGGGACGAGAACAAACCCGGGAAACUGGGGCUAAUUCUCGAUAGAUGAAGAACUCUGGAAUGAGUCUUUAUCAAAAAAGAUUUACGUUAUGCUCGUGAAUCCGCCCAAGGAUGAGGCCGCGACCGAUCAGGUUGUUGGUGAGGUAACGGCUCACCAAGCCUUUUACCGGUGCGGGCCGUGGGAGCGGGAGCCCGGAGAUGGGUACUGAGACAAGGACCCAGGCCCUACGGGGCGCAGCAGUCGCGAAACCUUUGCAAUACACGCAAGUGUGACAGGGCUAUCCCGAGUGCCAUCCGCUGAGGAAGGCUUUUACCCAGUAUAGAAAGCUGGGGGAAUAAGGAGAGGGCAAGUCUGGUGUCAGCCGCCGCGGUAAUACCAGCUCUCCGAGUGGUGUGGAUGUUUAUUGGGCCUAAAGCAUCCGUAGCUGGCUAAGUUAGUCCUUUGUUAAAUCCACCGAAUUAAUCGUUGGGUUGCGAGGGAUACUGCUUGGCUAGGGGACGAGAGAGGCAGACGGUAUUUUCGGGGUAGGGGUGAAAUCCUAUAAUCCCGGGAAAGACCACCAGUGGCGAAGGCUGUCUGCUAGAACGCGCCCGACGGUGAGGGAUGAAAGCUGGGGUAGCGAACCGGAUUAGAUACCCGGGUAGUCCCAGCUGUAAACGAUGCAGGCUAGGUGUUUGGACGGCCACGUGCCGUUCUAGUGCCGCAGGGAAGCUGUUAAGCCUGCCGCCUGGGGAGUACGAUCGCAAGACUGAAACUUAAAGGAAUUGGCG